Molecule: long non-coding RNA, 672 nt
Filed under: Ananas comosus (pineapple)
Lineage: Eukaryota; Viridiplantae; Streptophyta; Magnoliopsida; Poales; Bromeliaceae
Description: long non-coding RNA (ACOM_LNC003136)
Source: RNAcentral
GUGAAAUAAUAUGGUAGGAAAAUACUUUAUUUAUAUAACUAAUUGUAACGCCCCAAUAAUUUCACAUCGGAUGAGAUAUUGAUUUCGAUCAGUUUAUACUAGGGGUACACGUUAAUAAUAAUAACUGGGUUUAAAUAUUUUGGACCGGUUGUUUGACCCAACGAGUUAUUAUUGUAAGCAGAUCGGGUCAUUACAUUUGAAUUGGUAUCAAAGCAUUCCAAAUAUGUAGAAUAUACAAGAUACGAAAUUAAACGAUUAGAACGAUAAAGAUUAGAUACAAGCAAAUCAGAUUUAUAAUUCAAAAUAAUAAUAUAACGAUAAACAAGAAGAUUAGAUGAUCUCAAGAUUCGGUAUAGAGACGAAAAUGAGAAAAAAAAGAAAACGCGGUAUAGAGACGAAAAUGAGAAAAAAAAAAGAAAACCUUCUCAAAGACGGUAACGAUGACGAUGGAGUGCCGUCGACAACAAACAAAAAUGUCGAUAGAUGAGAUGUACGGCGGUGGUGGCCACGAAUGACGAUGACGAUGACGACAACGUUGACACAUGCGGAGCAGCUGGAAAGCCGUAUGGACAUGAGGGGAGAGGGAGUCUACUUUCUCAAAGACGGUAACGACGACGAUGGAGGAGUGCCGUCGACGCCGAACAAAAAUGUCGAUAGAUGAGAUGUACGGCG